CCUACGGGUGGCAGCAGUAGGGAAUAUUGCUCAAUGGGGGAAACCCUGAAGCAGCAACGCCGCGUGGAGGAUGAAGGUUUUAUGAUUGUAAACUCCUUUUUUUAGAGAAGAUAAUGACGGUAUCUCACGAAUAAGCACCGGCUAACUCCGUGCCCGCAGCCGCGGUAAUACGCAGGGUGCAGGUGUUACUCGGAAUUACUGGGCGUAAAGGGGGCGCAGGGUGGAUAGGAAGUCAGAUGUGAAAUCCUAUGGCUUAACAACAGAACUGCAUUUGAAACUAUGAGUCUAGAGUGUGGGAGAGGUAGGUGGAAUUCUUGGUGUAGGGGUAAAAGCCGUAGAUAUCAAGAGGAAUACUCAUUGCGAAGGCGACCUACUGGAACAUUACUGACGCUCAUGCACGAAAGCGUGGGGAGCAAACAGGAUUAGAUACCCGAGUAGUC
RNAcentral lists this ribosomal RNA (440 nucleotides) under uncultured bacterium. RNAcentral describes it as "partial 16S ribosomal RNA". It matches the Rfam family "Bacterial small subunit ribosomal RNA", at positions 338 to 795 of the family's 1533-position model. The record is from RNAcentral.